Molecule: ribosomal RNA, 253 nt
Filed under: uncultured bacterium
Lineage: Bacteria
Description: partial 16S ribosomal RNA
Rfam family: Bacterial small subunit ribosomal RNA
Source: RNAcentral
UACGUAGGUGGCAAGCGUUGUCCGGAUUUACUGGGCAUAAAGAGCGCGCAGGCGGUCGUGCAAGUCGCGUGUGAAAGCCCCCGGCUCAACUGGGGAGGGUCACGCGAUACUGCUCGACUUGAAGGCAGGAGAGGGAAGUGGAAUUCCCGGUGUAGUGGUGAAAUGCGUAGAUAUCGGGAGGAACACCAGUGGCGAAGGCGACUUCCUGGCCUGUUCUUGACGCUGAGGCGCGAAAGCUAGGGUAGCAAACGGG